CCGGUCCAAUCCCGUGCUAUUUACCCCUACUAAAGGAUCCACGGGGGUUCCUGCAGUUGGCUUCCUGGGCAGAGAGGGGGCGAUGGUAACUCUUAGCACAGUCAUUUGACACUUGGGUUCCUUUCAGUCAUUCCAGCGGUGUGAGGUCCUUCAGUAACUGCAGCAUGGAGGACUUCUCCAAGUUUAUCGCAAGUCAAAGCUCCCACUGUCUUCAGAACCAGCCACACCUACAGCCGUCGUACAAGAUGGCAGUCUGUGGGAAUGGAGAGUUGGAAGAAGGAGAAGUUUGCGACUGUGGACAGGAGGGCUGUGACGAUAAGCCUCCUCCAUGCUGUAAUCCCACCACCUGUCAGCUGUCAGAGGGCUCCACUUGCUCCACCGGAAGUUGCUGCGACGCUUCGUGCAAUCUGAAGGCAAAAGGGGAACUUUGCAGGCCUGCCAAUCAGGAAUGUGACGUCACAGAGUACUGCAACGGCACUUCCGAAGUGUGUGAAGAAGACUUCUUUGUUCAAGACGGUCACCCAUGUGCAGAACAGAAGUGG
Molecule: long non-coding RNA, 542 nt
Filed under: Rattus norvegicus (Norway rat)
Lineage: Eukaryota; Metazoa; Chordata; Mammalia; Rodentia; Muridae
Description: long non-coding RNA NONRATT010532
Source: RNAcentral